This 433-nucleotide ribosomal RNA is filed under the name uncultured bacterium. RNAcentral describes it as "partial 16S ribosomal RNA". It matches the Rfam family "Bacterial small subunit ribosomal RNA", at positions 29 to 507 of the family's 1533-position model. The record is from RNAcentral.
AACGAACGCUGGCGGCAUGCCUAACACAUGCAAGUCGAACGAGACCUUCGGGUCUAGUGGCGCACGGGUGCGUAACGCGUGGGAACCUGCCCUUAGGUUCGGAAUAACUCCCCGAAAGGGGUGCUAAUACCGGAUAAUGUCUUCGGACCAAAGAUUUAUCGCCUUUGGAUGGGCCCGCGUUGGAUUAGCUAGUUGGUAGGGUAAAAGCCUACCAAGGCGACGAUCCAUAGCUGGUCUGAGAGGAUGAUCAGCCACACUGGGACUGAGACACGGCCCAGACUCCUACGGAAGGCAGCAGUGGGGAAUAUUGGACAAUGGGCGAAAGCCUGAUCCAGCAAUGCCGCGUGAGUGAUGAAGGCCUUAGGGUUGUAAAGCUCUUUUACCCGGGAUGAUAAUGACAGUACCGGGAGAAUAAGCUCCGGCUAACUCCGUG